This is a non-coding RNA of Dipodomys ordii (Ord's kangaroo rat), 73 nucleotides long. Lineage: Eukaryota; Metazoa; Chordata; Mammalia; Rodentia; Heteromyidae. The record is from Rfam.
GGGAAGGUGACUUAGUGGUAGAGUGCUUGCCUUGCAUGCAUGAGGUCCUGGGUUCGAUUCCUCAGCACUACCU